GAUGAAGAACGUAGCGAAAUGCGAUAAGUAAUGUGAAUUGCAGAAUUCAGUGAAUCAUCGAAUCUUUGAACGCACAUUGCGCCCGCCAGUAUUCUGGCUGGCAUGCCUGUUCGAGCGUCAUUUCAACCAUCAAGCCCCCGGCUUGUGUUGGGGACCUGCGGCUGCCGCAGGCCCUGAAAACCAGUGGCGGGCUCGCUGUCACACCGAGCGUAGUAGAUUUUCAUCUCGCUCAGGGCGUGCUGCGGGUUCCGGCCGUAAAAAGCCUUAUUUACCCAAGGUUGACCUCGGAUCAGGUAGGAAGACCCGCUGAACUUAAGCAUAUCAAUAAGCGGAGGA
Molecule: unclassified non-coding RNA, 336 nt
Filed under: soil metagenome
Description: partial contains 5.8S ribosomal RNA, internal transcribed spacer 2, and large subunit ribosomal RNA
Rfam family: 5.8S ribosomal RNA (bases 1-120)
Source: RNAcentral